UAGGGAAGUCUUCCACAAUGGACGCAAGUCUGGUGGAGCAACGCCGCGUGAGUGAAGAAGGGUUUCGGCUCGUAAAGCUCUGUUGUUAAAGAAGAACGUGGGUAAGAGUAACUGUUUACCCAGUGACGGUAUUUAACCAGAAAGCCACGGCUAACCACGUGCCAC
This 165-nucleotide ribosomal RNA is filed under the name uncultured bacterium. RNAcentral's name for it is "partial 16S rRNA". It matches the Rfam family "Bacterial small subunit ribosomal RNA", at positions 355 to 511 of the family's 1533-position model. The record is from RNAcentral.